This 253-nucleotide ribosomal RNA is filed under the name uncultured prokaryote. RNAcentral's name for it is "partial 16S ribosomal RNA". It matches the Rfam family "Bacterial small subunit ribosomal RNA", at positions 524 to 776 of the family's 1533-position model. The record is from RNAcentral.
GACGAACCGUGCGAACGUUGUUCGGAAUCACUGGGCUUAAAGGGCGCGUAGGCGGUUGACCAAGUCCGGGGUGAAAUCUUUCGGCUUAACCGGAAAAGUGCCUUGGAUACUGGUCGGCUCGAGCGAGGUAGGGGCAGCUGGAACUUCCAGUGGAGCGGUGAAAUGCGUUGAUAUUGGAAGGAACGCCGGUGGCGAAAGCGAGCUGCUGGACCUCUUCUGACGCUGAGGCGCGAAAGCUAGGGGAGCGAACGGG